UACGAAGGGGGCGAGCGUUGUUCGGAUUUACUGGGCGUAAAGGGCGCGCAGGCGGCCAUUCAAGUCAGGCGUGAAAGCCCCGGGCUUAACCUGGGAGGUGCGUCUGGGACUGGGUGGCUAGAGAUCGGGAGAGGAGAGUGGAAUUCCCAGUGUAGAGGUGAAAUGCGUAGAUAUCGGGAGGAACACCAGUGGCGAAGGCGACUACCUGGCCCAUUCUUGACGCCGAGGCGCGAAAGCUAGGGGAGCGAACGGG
RNAcentral lists this ribosomal RNA (253 nucleotides) under uncultured bacterium. RNAcentral's name for it is "partial 16S ribosomal RNA". It matches the Rfam family "Bacterial small subunit ribosomal RNA", at positions 524 to 776 of the family's 1533-position model. The record is from RNAcentral.